UACGUAGGGUGCGAGCGUUAAUCGGAAUUACUGGGCGUAAAGCGUGCGCAGGCGGUUUUGCAAGUCAGAUGUGAAAGCCCCGGGCUCAACCUGGGAAUUGCAUUUGAAACUACAAGGCUAGAGUGUGUCAGAGGGGGGUAGAAUUCCACGUGUAGCAGUGAAAUGCGUAGAGAUGUGGAGGAACACCGAUGGCGAAGGCAGCCCCCUGGGCUGAGAUUGACGCUCAGGCACGAAAGCGUGGGGAGCAAACAGG
This 253-nucleotide ribosomal RNA is filed under the name uncultured bacterium. RNAcentral describes it as "partial 16S ribosomal RNA". It matches the Rfam family "Bacterial small subunit ribosomal RNA", at positions 524 to 776 of the family's 1533-position model. The record is from RNAcentral.